UAAAUUUUUAAAGGUAUAUUCUGCCCUAUGAUUAAUUAUUUUAAAUGGCUGCAGUAUCUUGACUGUGCAAAGGUAGCAUAAUAAUUAGUUUUUUAAUUGAAGGCUUGUAUGAAUGAGUAAAUGAGAAAUUUUUUUUAUUAUGAGAAUUUUUUGAAAUUAAUUUUUAAGUUAAAAAGCUUAUUUAAUUUUUUGGGACGAUAAGACCCUAUAGAACUUAAAUUUAAUUUUGUUAGUUUUUUUUAGUUAAUUUAUUAAUUAAAAUUUUAUUAAUUUUUUAUUGGGGUGAUAAAUAAAUAAAACUUUAUUUUUUUAGUUCAAUAAGUUUUUGUAUUUUAUGAUCCAAUAAAUUUGAUUAUAAGAUUAAGUUACCUUAGGGAUAACAGCGUAAUUCUUAUGGAGAGUUCAUAUUUAUAUAAGAGUUUGCGACCUCGAUGUUGAAUUAAGAUUAUUUAAUGGGGCAG
Molecule: ribosomal RNA, 461 nt
Filed under: Proconiini gen n. 1 sp. DMT-2018
Lineage: Eukaryota; Metazoa; Arthropoda; Insecta; Hemiptera; Cicadellidae
Description: partial large subunit ribosomal RNA
Source: RNAcentral